GCCGGUAUAGCUCAGUUGGCUAGAGCAGCUGUUUUGUAAACAGCAGGUCGGGGGUUCGACUCCCUCUACCGGCUCCA
RNAcentral lists this transfer RNA (77 nucleotides) under Bdellovibrionales bacterium. RNAcentral describes it as "tRNA-Thr". It matches the Rfam family "tRNA". Rfam says of the family: Transfer RNA (tRNA) molecules are approximately 80 nucleotides in length. Their secondary structure includes four short double-helical elements and three loops (D, anti-codon, and T loops). The record is from RNAcentral. Lineage: Bacteria; Pseudomonadati; Bdellovibrionota; Bdellovibrionia; Bdellovibrionales.